Long non-coding RNA from Bos taurus (domestic cattle), 2359 nucleotides. Lineage: Eukaryota; Metazoa; Chordata; Mammalia; Artiodactyla; Bovidae. The record is from Ensembl.
GUCUCGGGAAGCCUCUCUGAGUUUCUCCUACGCCCUCAUUUACUGUCCACCUGCUAUGUGCUAGGCACACACAUAUGUUAUUGCUAGUCAGUACAAGGACCCCCCACUAUAGGUAUUAGUAGGUGCAACUUUCUGAUAAGGACACAGAGGCUCAAAGUGACUUAGCGAUUGCCCAAAGAUAUACCUCUAGUGAGCAGGACUGGCUCUGUAGUUACAUAAAUGUAAGGCAAGUACCCACUCAUUGUCCUUGGCCACGGCAGUGAAGUCACCAUAAAUCUGAAUGCUGAUGCUGCAGAUCAAGGUGCCAAGUAUCCCAUCCAGUGAUGUAAGUGGGUAUCUUCGGCCAGAACCCUGCCCUUGAAGAGGGUGUCAGAAUCCAGAGAGCCAAGCAGCCCACCACCCUCGGCAGACUGGACUGCUAAAGGUUCCACAUCACCUCCAGUGGGCUUCCACUGAUGCGGGAUGUCCAUGUCAGAUAUUGACUGAGAGGCUGACAGAACCCUGCCUCUGCAGUCUUGGCUUUUGUCUCCAAUGAACAGAAGCUUAGGCAAGGUGUUCAUCGGACCAUCCAAAAGGCCGGACAGAGGCUGUGGCUUCAUCAAGCUUCCAGAACAGACAGUGUGAGCUGCUUUAUGCCCGCUUGUUAGUGACCGUCUGCUGUGUGGCAGAACUUGGUCUGAGACUUGCUUUCACUGUAAUAUGGCAGUGAGGUACGUGGCAGUAGCAAAUGUCCUCACCUCAAGCUUUUUUGAGUGACCACCUAUUCUCUUACAUCCAUUAAAAGCAACAACAAAGAGCUGUGUUACCAAAUUGAUUAAAUCCAGCUGAUAGGCCCCUUCUGCUCUUGCAAUCCUACGUGGAGAACAAGGCGUCCUGGAGAAGGUCAGCUCAGAGGUGAACGGCUGACGAACACAAGCAGAGAACAAAUACGUUGAGCGUUUCAUUUUCUGAGGAUAAUAUUGUGGCAGGAAAGAGGAAGGACUCCAUUUGCGCCAAAGAUAUUUCCACUGCUGAGCUUUAGACCAUCCUGAUGAAUCAAAGACGGGGACUGGCCAUAAAGGACUACUGAGGAAGGGGCUUCCUGAAUUAUGGGGUUACCUGGAAGAAUCAAGUGGAGAAGGUUGGAAAAGUGUCUGAGAGUGAUGCAGAUGAAAUGAAGGAUUUGGGAUCUGCCUUGUGCAUGGCUUCCUGACCCAGCUCAUGAACUAUGGGUCUGGUUUGAUGUCUCUGGGCCGCAGGCAGAAACAAAAGGAGACGUGAGAAUAUUGCUUGCAGGGUAUUGGACCUGGGAAUUAAGUGUAAUCCAGACAGGACGUAGGAUCUUCUCUUCAUUGCUGUUUGGAUCCAACAGAGAGAAGAGCCAAGGGACUGCAGAGCCACCUGGGAGCUGGAGAGUUGGGGUCUGCACCUUGGGUAUCACUUGGAGAGCAGACAGCUGUUGUCCCCCAAGCGCUGGCAUCACUGAAAGUACUGGAAUGUGACCACUGAGGGACUUUUCCUUCAGUGGACAUUGAUUGUGUAAGCUGGAGAAAAAUAAUUUGAGAUCAACGUUUGUAGACUCAUGUAGUUUGGGACAAGAGCCAAAAAUUUUUGGUCAUUACCCAUGCUGUGCUCCAUUGUGCGUAUUUAUGCACGUAACACUGGAGGAAACUUGCAUUAUAUUUGGGAAUCUCAUUCAAACUGUGGUGAUUCUGGAUUCUCCUUCCAAAACAGAACCUGAGACAAGGGCUAGUACGCAAGCAGUUUAUUUGGGAAGUGAUUCAGAAAAACGAGGCCGAGAGUGAACACCUAUUCCAGGGUAUAUCAUCAAGGCGAUCACUGCUGUGUUAGUGGGGCUUGACCCACUCAGCGCCUCCGAGGAGCCACACGGAAUAUGCCUCAUUUAUCUACCAGCUCUCAUCCCUCAUUAGAAAAGAGAUGCCCGUUGACUUUAACUUCCUUGCCCUUUCAGGUUCCAUGUGCCUGAUUGGAUUUCCACAGCCAUCUUUCAGCACAGCAUUAGAGAAGUCCCAGGGCAGGAAGACAUGAGGCAGAUGAAGUGAGAUGCUGUCAGAGCAUGUUUGCGCAAAGCUGGUUGCUGCAAAACUGGCUGGAGUAAAAAGUAGGCUGAGGAAACACAAGGAUUUGAAGUGGCACAACACAGUCUGAUCCAGAACACCUCUUGCACAGAUCAGGUCCACUCUUGCCCAACAUUAAGUCCCAUUCAUCAGAUACCCUUCAGUGUGAUGACUUUCUACAGUCUCUACAGACUUAAAACAGGAGGCUUCCUGGAAAAAGUUAUAAACCUGACUGAUACAACUAGCAUUGCAGAAAGGGGUCCCCUAGAGUCAAUGUGCUACCAGCUGCCUAAUUGAUACCU